UACGAAGGGGGCUAGCGUUGCUCGGAAUUACUGGGCGUAAAGGGCGCGUAGGCGGUGCUUAAGUCAGAGGUUAAUCCCAGGGCUCAACCCUGGAACUGCCUUUGAUACUGGGCACCUUGAGUAUGGGAGAGGUGAGUGGAACUCCGAGUGUAGAGGUGAAAUUCGUAGAUAUUCGGAAGAACACCAGUGGCGAAGGCGACUCACUGGCCCAUUACUGACGCUGAGGCGCGAAAGCGUGGGGAGCAAACAGG
RNAcentral lists this ribosomal RNA (251 nucleotides) under uncultured bacterium. RNAcentral's name for it is "partial 16S ribosomal RNA". It matches the Rfam family "Bacterial small subunit ribosomal RNA", at positions 524 to 776 of the family's 1533-position model. The record is from RNAcentral.